Molecule: non-coding RNA, 29 nt
Filed under: Homo sapiens (human)
Lineage: Eukaryota; Metazoa; Chordata; Mammalia; Primates; Hominidae
Source: RNAcentral
CCCGGGUGACGGUGAGAUGAGCUGAGAUC